GCCAUUUCUGUGAAGAAGGUCACUUCCUAAUUUACGACAAAUAUGUAAUGUUUUUAGAAAAGUAAACAAAGCAAGUCUUUCUGUUAACAAUGGCAGAGGGAACACAGAAAAAAUCAGAAAUUAACCAAUGUAAUGAUGCACCAUUGAAUUUUAAAUACAAAGACGAUAUCUCAAUGUUUAUGGCAUGGCAGAAUUAUUGUUGGAUGUCCUACUCAUAUGCACUCUACCAGGAAUCUAUGAAUUCUUAUAUGCGGGAAUUCAUCAUGCAACAAAAUAAUAAUAUUAUGUUAUCAAGACUAAGCAAUCCAUCAGUUCCACCAGAACAAGCUCAACAACAAAAUAGCCAACAACAAGAAGUUGUGAAUCAAGAAAGUCCGAGAAUCAGAGUAAAACUGGCGUCAUUACCAAAUAGAGUUGCAGCUGAAUUGAUCGACUUUCUAUUGCUAGCAUUUAUCAAAGUACUUGUCAUAUUCAUAUGCUAUGGUGAUGAGUAUUUGGAGCAUUUUAAUUUUGUUUUGGUUAUCGACGACACAACAUCAUUCGACGACAUCCAGUGGAUGCUAUUGCAAGCAUUGCUUUUUCGUGCAAUCGUAGUUGGAUAUGAGGGCUACAUGUUGAGUGGUACAUUACCAUUUUCGCAUGGACAUACCCUUGGUAAAAGUGUAAUGGGGAUAACUGUUCUGCAUUGUGUCAAUUUUGAAGAAAGAAACGAGGCUGAACAGACAGUACAAGUCACGCCACAACCACUAGGUGUUGGGAGAUCGUUUCUCCGAUCUUUACUGAAAAACAUGUCUAUCUCAAUUCUCUUCCCAAUGUUGCUACCUAUACUAAUGUUCAGUCAUAAUCGCUUAGUAUAUGAUAUGGCAGUUGGUUCCGUUGUAGUUGACCGACCAGAUUUACAGCAACGAAGACCAAUAUUUGACUUCAGAUGAAAGAAAGUGCACUGUGAAGAAGAGCCUUAUCUGGUUUUAAAUUAUAAACUUUUACUUCGUUUUUAAACAGCGAAUUGAAAUGGUAAUGAAUGAAUAAAAUAUAAAAAUAUUUAUUGUAAAUAAAAAGUAGAGUAGAUCAUUACACCGGCCUUUGUAAUACCAGCUGUGUGAUGUGAGGAUCGCUGGUGCGUUUUCACUACUUCAAAAAAAAUCUUCGCUAGAUUAAAAAUUUUUACAAACACAAAUCAUAAUGACAUCCUAUUAUGACUUCUUUUCUUGCCAACCCUUUGAUUUACUCCUUGAACGAAAAAAAAUAAUCUACCCACUCUAAGGAAACAGAUUUGGCCCCAAGGUCAUAGUACCAUCUCCAAGAUGGAGGCGAAAAAUAUUCUUUAUUUAUAUCUGAAGAAAGUUCUUUUUACAGUAAGAACUCGUCGUCAAAAUGUUAUCCGGACUUUGCGUAGACUUGUCCAUAUUCAAAAAAGCCCUGCGAAGUUUGAGAUUUAAUGUUGGAAGAAAAUAUACGCACCAAAAAAUAAAUCUUGAUUGAAACGAACAAUCCUAUUUGGGUUCCCAUUGCCCUUAUUUAUAAAUACCGUCUUGAUAAAACCCAAAAAUAAGAGCCUUGGAAACGAGAUUGAUUAAAGACGUAUUUUUGAUCGCAUAAAACGUCAUGUAAUUAGCCUUGAACUUUGUGUCCCAUGUCACUUCUUUUAACUGUAUCAAAUUAAAAGUUUCGGAAAUAUAUUUUCUCGGAAAACAUAAUUAUGACGUCACAAAUAAAUCACAAAUAAACUAAGCGAAACACGAUACAAAAAAUGAGGGAAAUAUGUCAAUGAAAAAAAUACGUUUAAAAUAUGUAAUGAAAAUAUAUAAAAUUGAAGAACUUGUAAAACGUAACCUGCGGGGUAAAUGCGUGGUAAAUAUAAUCACUGUAAUUACUUCAUUACGUAGCCACAAAAGUAAUAUUUCCCUUAUGAGAAAAAUCGUUAAAUAAUAUGACGGAUUGUUUCUUUUUCUUAAUUACAUCAACUGUUUGUUUUCUUGUUAACGUCAUCUGUCAAAGAAGCAAAACUAUUUUAGGUGAGAUAAGAAGUUGUAGAAUUUCUAUUUAAAAAGAAACGCACAUUCAAACCUUUUUAAGGAAUCGUUGCUUUGUAGGAAAAAAAAUAAUUAGUAAGUUCGUCUGUUUCUAUAACAGCAGCAUGGCAUCCGCAGUUUCAAAUGCACCGGUUGAAGUCAAUUCUCCGGACGAACAUAAGAGGCAAUUUAUAUCAAGCAAUCGAUCCGGUCGAAGAAAUGCAGCACCGGCUAAUUUAUUUGUAGAGGAAGAAGCACUGAAAAUACUAGCCAAUCAGAUUGCAAAAAGCGCGGAGCAAAUGGAGGGUAAUGAUGAUACAAAAGCAAAUGAAAGUUAAUAGACUGAGUAUGUAGAACUGAAUAUGAAGACAAUAAUAGCCGGUCGUAAACAAGAGCGUCGUUUAAGAUAUUGACUGUGUUAAUCAAGGCAAAAAAUGUCAGACAAAUCAAGGACAUACAGAAAGAUAAGAAAACUGAUUCGAUGAUAAAUUAAUUUGUAUUGUAUAUAACAGCUCUUUUUACAUACAUUUUUUUGUAUUUAUCUAUAUCUUUAAUAUAAUUCUAUUUAAUUUUA
Hydractinia symbiolongicarpus is the source of this 2586-nucleotide RNA transcript. It is a transcript of the gene named protein FAM8A1-like, with no coding region annotated. The transcript has 6 exons. The record is from RefSeq and is a predicted model, not a curated record. Lineage: Eukaryota; Metazoa; Cnidaria; Hydrozoa; Anthoathecata; Hydractiniidae.